This 403-nucleotide ribosomal RNA is filed under the name uncultured bacterium. Its description in RNAcentral is "bacterial SSU rRNA". It matches the Rfam family "Bacterial small subunit ribosomal RNA", at positions 355 to 775 of the family's 1533-position model. The record is from RNAcentral.
UAGGGAAUAUUAGUAAUGGGCGAAAGCCUGAACUAGCGACACCGCGUGUGCGAAGAAGGCCUUCGGGUUGUAAAGCACUUUUUGGAAGGAAUAGGAAGGAAUGUACUUCCAGAAUAAGUCUCGGCUAACUACGUGCCAGCAGCCGCGGUAACACGUAGGAGGCGAACGUUAUCCGGAUUUACUGGGCGUAAAGCGCGUGUAGGUGGUACUGUAAGUAGGGCGUGAAAGCUCCUGGCUCAACUGGGAGAGGCCGUUCUAAACUACAGAACUAGAGGAUGGUAGAGGGAGGUGGAAUUCCAGGUGUAGCGGUGGAAUGCGCAGAUAUCUGGAGGAACACCGGUGGCGAAGGCGGCCUCCUGGACCAUUCCUGACACUCAGACGCGAAAGCUAGGGUAGCAAACGG